UUAAGCGACUAAGCGUACACGGUGGAUGCCCUGGCAGUCAGAGGCGAUGAAGGACGUGCUAAUCUGCGAUAAGCGUCGGUAAGGUGAUAUGAACCGUUAUAACCGGCGAUUUCCGAAUGGGGAAACCCAGUGUGUUUCGACACACUAUCAUUAACUGAAUCCAUAGGUUAAUGAGGCGAACCGGGGGAACUGAAACAUCUAAGUACCCCGAGGAAAAGAAAUCAACCGAGAUUCCCCCAGUAGCGGCGAGCGAACGGGGAGCAGCCCAGAGUCUGAAUCAGUGUGUGUGUUAGUGGAAGCGUCUGGAAAGGCGCGCGAUACAGGGUGACAGCCCCGUACACAAAAAUGCACAUGCUGUGAGCUCGAUGAGUAGGGCGGGACACGUGGUAUCCUGUCUGAAUAUGGGGGGACCAUCCUCCAAGGCUAAAUACUCCUGACUGACCGAUAGUGAACCAGUACCGUGAGGGAAAGGCGAAAAGAACCCCGGCGAGGGGAGUGAAAAAGAACCUGAAACCGUGUACGUACAAGCAGUGGGAGCCUCUUUAUGGGGUGACUGCGUACCUUUUGUAUAAUGGGUCAGCGACUUAUAUUCUGUAGCAAGGUUAACCGAAUAGGGGAGCCGAAGGGAAACCGAGUCUUAACUGGGCGUUAAGUUGCAGGGUAUAGACCCGAAACCCGGUGAUCUAGCCAUGGGCAGGUUGAAGGUUGGGUAACACUAACUGGAGGACCGAACCGACUAAUGUUGAAAAAUUAGCGGAUGACUUGUGGCUGGGGGUGAAAGGCCAAUCAAACCGGGAGAUAGCUGGUUCUCCCCGAAAGCUAUUUAGGUAGCGCCUCGUGAAUUCAUCUCCGGGGGUAGAGCACUGUUUCGGCAAGGGGGUCAUCCCGACUUACCAACCCGAUGCAAACUGCGAAUACCGGAGAAUGUUAUCACGGGAGACACACGGCGGGUGCUAACGUCCGUCGUGAAGAGGGAAACAACCCAGACCGCCAGCUAAGGUCCCAAAGUCAUGGUUAAGUGGGAAACGAUGUGGGAAGGCCCAGACAGCCAGGAUGUUGGCUUAGAAGCAGCCAUCAUUUAAAGAAAGCGUAAUAGCUCACUGGUCGAGUCGGCCUGCGCGGAAGAUGUAACGGGGCUAAACCAUGCACCGAAGCUGCGGCAGCGACACUAUGUGUUGUUGGGUAGGGGAGCGUUCUGUAAGCCUGUGAAGGUGUACUGUGAGGUAUGCUGGAGGUAUCAGAAGUGCGAAUGCUGACAUAAGUAACGAUAAAGCGGGUGAAAAGCCCGCUCGCCGGAAGACCAAGGGUUCCUGUCCAACGUUAAUCGGGGCAGGGUGAGUCGACCCCUAAGGCGAGGCCGAAAGGCGUAGUCGAUGGGAAACAGGUUAAUAUUCCUGUACUUGGUGUUACUGCGAAGGGGGGACGGAGAAGGCUAUGUUGGCCGGGCGACGGUUGUCCCGGUUUAAGCGUGUAGGCUGGUUUUCCAGGCAAAUCCGGAAAAUCAAGGCUGAGGCGUGAUGACGAGGCACUACGGUGCUGAAGCAACAAAUGCCCUGCUUCCAGGAAAAGCCUCUAAGCAUCAGGUAACAUCAAAUCGUACCCCAAACCGACACAGGUGGUCAGGUAGAGAAUACCAAGGCGCUUGAGAGAACUCGGGUGAAGGAACUAGGCAAAAUGGUGCCGUAACUUCGGGAGAAGGCACGCUGAUAUGUAGGUGAAGCGACUUGCUCGUGGAGCUGAAAUCAGUCGAAGAUACCAGCUGGCUGCAACUGUUUAUUAAAAACACAGCACUGUGCAAACACGAAAGUGGACGUAUACGGUGUGACGCCUGCCCGGUGCCGGAAGGUUAAUUGAUGGGGUUAGCGGUAACGCGAAGCUCUUGAUCGAAGCCCCGGUAAACGGCGGCCGUAACUAUAACGGUCCUAAGGUAGCGAAAUUCCUUGUCGGGUAAGUUCCGACCUGCACGAAUGGCGUAAUGAUGGCCAGGCUGUCUCCACCCGAGACUCAGUGAAAUUGAACUCGCUGUGAAGAUGCAGUGUACCCGCGGCAAGACGGAAAGACCCCGUGAACCUUUACUAUAGCUUGACACUGAACAUUGAGCCUUGAUGUGUAGGAUAGGUGGGAGGCUUUGAAGUGUGGACGCCAGUCUGCAUGGAGCCGGCCUUGAAAUACCACCCUUUAAUGUUUGAUGUUCUAACGUUGGCCCCUGAUCGGGGUUGCGGACAGUGUCUGGUGGGUAGUUUGACUGGGGCGGUCUCCUCCUAAAGAGUAACGGAGGAGCACGAAGGUUGGCUAAUCCUGGUCGGACAUCAGGAGGUUAGUGCAAUGGCAUAAGCCAGCUUGACUGCGAGCGUGACGGCGCGAGCAGGUGCGAAAGCAGGUCAUAGUGAUCCGGUGGUUCUGAAUGGAAGGGCCAUCGCUCAACGGAUAAAAGGUACUCCGGGGAUAACAGGCUGAUACCGCCCAAGAGUUCAUAUCGACGGCGGUGUUUGGCACCUCGAUGUCGGCUCAUCACAUCCUGGGGCUGAAGUAGGUCCCAAGGGUAUGGCUGUUCGCCAUUUAAAGUGGUACGCGAGCUGGGUUUAGAACGUCGUGAGACAGUUCGGUCCCUAUCUGCCGUGGGCGCUGGAGAACUGAGGGGGGCUGCUCCUAGUACGAGAGGACCGGAGUGGACGCAUCACUGGUGUUCGGGUUGUCAUGCCAAUGGCACUGCCCGGUAGCUAAAUGCGGAAGAGAUAAGUGCUGAAAGCAUCUAAGCACGAAACUUGCCCCGAGAUGAGUUCUCCCUGAGACUUAGAGUCUCCUGAAGGAACGUUGAAGACGACGACGUUGAUAGGCCGGGUGUGUAAGCGCAGAGAUGCGUUGAGCUAACCGGUACUAAUGAACCGUGAGGCUUAACCUU
RNAcentral lists this ribosomal RNA (2902 nucleotides) under human metagenome. RNAcentral describes it as "bacterial LSU rRNA". It matches the Rfam family "Bacterial large subunit ribosomal RNA". The record is from RNAcentral.